UGGGGAGUGGUGAAAUGGAAUCACACGUGGCUCUGACCCACGGUUUCCAGGUUCGAGCCCUGGCUCCCCAGCCA
RNAcentral lists this transfer RNA (74 nucleotides) under Deltaproteobacteria bacterium GWA2_65_63. Its description in RNAcentral is "tRNA-Gln". It matches the Rfam family "tRNA". From Rfam's summary of the family: Transfer RNA (tRNA) molecules are approximately 80 nucleotides in length. The record is from RNAcentral. Lineage: Bacteria; Deltaproteobacteria. RNAcentral also lists the same sequence under 5 other names.